Flavobacterium sp. ABG is the source of this 126-nucleotide non-coding RNA. NCBI's taxonomy places the organism in Bacteria, Pseudomonadati, Bacteroidota, Flavobacteriia, Flavobacteriales, Flavobacteriaceae. The record is from Rfam.
UUGUCACAACAAAAAAAGAAAUGAGAACAAUUUUAAACAAUACUUGGUGGUGGAAGAAUUUACGUCAAACGUCGUGAACGAAGCUUCCUAUGGUACUUUAAAAACUAUAAAUAUAAAAGGCUUGUC